CAGGGAAACAAUCCCAGCACCAGGGAAAUAAGAGGAUAGAGUGUUUAUACUUGGUCAGAAGUGACAGCUCAGAAGAGUUAAACUAAGGUGCAAAGCGGGAAGAGAAGCCACAUGUUCAGGACUGACAGUGAAAGAUGAGAGAACCACAGGGCCUCUGCCUUUUUCCCUCCAAAGCGGGUAUGUGGACUCCUCACAACUAAGGCAGAAGGGCUGCUUUCUGGGGCAUCAUCACUCCCUGAAGGUGUGCCACUGGGCACCUGGAAGCAUGUGCAAAGGAUCCUACCAUCGAACACUGUUCUGAGAUGGAAAAUUAAUGGUACUCAGCAACACAGAGGACAUGCAAACAGCAGCCCAGGACAGACAAGGAUGACAGAGCCUUA
Molecule: long non-coding RNA, 380 nt
Organism: Trachemys scripta elegans
Lineage: Eukaryota; Metazoa; Chordata; Testudines; Emydidae
Exons: 3
Source: RefSeq, a predicted model, not a curated record